GACGAACGCUGGCGGCAUGCCUAAUACAUGCAAGUCGAGCGAACAGAUGAAGUGCUUGCACUUCUGACGUUAGCGGCGAACGGGUGAGUAACACGUAAGGAAUCUACCUAUAAGCGGGGGAUAACAUUCGGAAACGGGUGCUAAUACCGCAUAAUAUCUUCUUCCGCAUGGAAGAAGAUUGAAAGACGGCUCUGCUGUCACUUAUAGAUGACCUUGCGGUGCAUUAGUUAGUUGGUGGGGUAACGGCCUACCAAGACGAUGAUGCAUAGCCGACCUGAGAGGGUGAUCGGCCACAUUGGGACUGAGACACUGCCCAAACUCCUACGGGAGGCAGCAGUAGGGAAUCUUCCGCAAUGGGCGAAAGCCUGACGGAGCAAUGCCGCGUGAGUGAAGAAGGCCUUCGGGUCGUGAAACUCUGUUAUAAGAGAAGAACAAAUUGUAGAGUAACUGCUACAGUCUUGACGGUAUCUUAUCAGAAAGCCACGGCUAACUACGUGCCAGCCGCCGCUGUAA
Molecule: ribosomal RNA, 513 nt
Filed under: uncultured bacterium
Lineage: Bacteria
Description: partial 16S ribosomal RNA
Rfam family: Bacterial small subunit ribosomal RNA
Source: RNAcentral